RNAcentral lists this long non-coding RNA (470 nucleotides) under Numida meleagris (helmeted guineafowl). Its description in RNAcentral is "lncRNA (ENSNMEG00000022435.1)". The record is from RNAcentral. Lineage: Eukaryota; Metazoa; Chordata; Aves; Galliformes; Numididae.
AUGGGCUAUAACCCUAAAUGGAUUUCAGUGAAGGUAACAUUUGCUGUGAAAUGUUCAUACAGCUAUAUCACAUUCUGCUUCUUCUGUGAAAUCCAAGACAGAGUAUUUAAGGUGAGCUUGAUGUUAGAAGAAUAUCAGAAGAGAAGAGAAAUCUGGAAAAAUGUUAAUGGAGAAAGGGAUUAAGACUUCAGAUGAAAUCUCAAGUAUUUUCCACCAGAGGGUUGAUUGUCAUGGAGAAAACAGUCAAGCUAAUUUCCAUACAAUGGAAUAUGAAGAUGUGGCAGAGCCUCUGGAUCCUGAAGAUCUUCCUUGUCGGAUCUUGAAGAGCUUCCUUGUCUAGGAAGUCACUUACCUUCACAUAAAGGGUAUUCUGCAGUGCAGGAGACAUUAUAGCAAAAGGUAGGCAUGAAUUCAUCCUGUGGGGAAGGAAAUCCCUGUUCCUGUUCAGGUUUUCUGUAUCUUAACAUCUG